GUCGAGCGGAACGAUGGUAGCUUGCUACCAGGCGUCGAGCGGCGGACGGGUGAGUAAUGCUUAGGAAUCUGCCCAGUAGUGGGGGAUAGCCCGGGGAAACCCGGAUUAAUACCGCAUACGCCCUUUUGGGGAAAGCAGGGGAUCUUCGGACCUUGCGCUAUUGGAUGAGCCUAAGUCGGAUUAGCUAGUUGGUGGGGUAAAGGCUCACCAAGGCGACGAUCCGUAGCUGGUCUGAGAGGAUGAUCAGCCACAUCGGGACUGAGACACGGCCCGAACUCCUACGGGAGGCAGCAGUGGGGAAUAUUGGACAAUGGGGGCAACCCUGAUCCAGCCAUGCCGCGUGUGUGAAGAAGGCUUUCGGGUUGUAAAGCACUUUCAGUGAGGAGGAAGGCCUUAAGAUUAAUACUCUUAAGGAUUGACGUCACUCACAGAAGAAGCACCGGCUAACUCCGUGCCAGCAGCCGCGGUAAUACGGAGGGUGCAAGCGUUAAUCGGAAUUACUGGGCGUAAAGCGCGCGUAGGUGGUUGAGUAAGCGAGAUGUGAAAGCCCCGGGCUUAACCUGGGAACGGCAUUUCGAACUGCUCGACUAGAGUGUGGUAGAGGGUAGUGGAAUUUCCUGUGUAGCGGUGAAAUGCGUAGAUAUAGGAAGGAACACCAGUGGCGAAGGCGGCUACCUGGACCAACACUGACACUGAGGUGCGAAAGCGUGGGGGAGCAAACAGGAUUAGAUACCCUGGUAGUCCACGCCGUAAACGAUG
RNAcentral lists this ribosomal RNA (759 nucleotides) under Marinobacter sp. Its description in RNAcentral is "bacterial SSU rRNA". It matches the Rfam family "Bacterial small subunit ribosomal RNA", at positions 61 to 811 of the family's 1533-position model. The record is from RNAcentral. Lineage: Bacteria; Pseudomonadati; Pseudomonadota; Gammaproteobacteria; Pseudomonadales; Marinobacteraceae.